RNAcentral lists this ribosomal RNA (506 nucleotides) under uncultured bacterium. RNAcentral's name for it is "partial 16S ribosomal RNA". It matches the Rfam family "Bacterial small subunit ribosomal RNA", at positions 28 to 523 of the family's 1533-position model. The record is from RNAcentral.
GAUGAACGCUAGCUACAGGCUUAACACAUGCAAGUCGAGGGGUAACGAGAGGAAAGCUUGCUUUCCUUGUCGACGACCGGCGCACGGGUGAGUAACGCGUAUCCAACCUGCCCCCAACUAGGGAAUAACCUUGCGAAAGUAAGACUAAUACCCUAUAAUUUCCUCAGAUGUCAUCUGACGAGGAAUAAAGAUUUAUCGGUUGUGGAUGGGGAUGCGUCUGAUUAGCUUGUUGGCGGGGUAACGGCCCACCAAGGCAACGAUCAGUAGGGGUUCUGAGAGGAAGGUCCCCCACAGUGGAACGGAGACACGGUCCAAACUCCUACGGGAGGCAGCAGUGAGGAAUAUUGGUCAAUGGGCGGAAGCCUGAACCAGCCAAGUAGCGUGCAGGAUGACGGCCCUAUGGGUUGUAAACUGCUUUUAUACAGGAAUAAAGUUAGCCACGUGUGGUUAUUUGUAGGUACUGUAUGAAUAAGGACCGGCUAAUUCCGUGCCAGCCGCCGCGGUAA